Molecule: ribosomal RNA, 180 nt
Filed under: Triticum aestivum (bread wheat)
Lineage: Eukaryota; Viridiplantae; Streptophyta; Magnoliopsida; Poales; Poaceae
Description: partial small subunit ribosomal RNA
Source: RNAcentral
AUGUCCAUUGCUUCUAUUUUGAUGCUUGUCUCACGGGAAAUCUGGAAGGAGCGGAAUGCAAGAAUUUCUCGCAACACAGCUGCACCGACCACAAUCAUCAUCACAAAAAUCAAAGAGGAAGCCCAUCUUUUGGCGUUCACAGGAGCCAAGCAUUUGAGCAUUAUUAUGUCACGAGAGUAA